Sander lucioperca (pikeperch) is the source of this 307-nucleotide long non-coding RNA. RefSeq lists it as uncharacterized. The record is from RefSeq and is a predicted model, not a curated record. NCBI's taxonomy places the organism in Eukaryota, Metazoa, Chordata, Actinopteri, Perciformes, Percidae. The transcript has 2 exons.
AACAAUUGUUAAAUUUAUCUGUUUAUAUAACGCUCCCUUUUUCCCUUCUCAUGAUGUUUUGACAGCGUGUGCCAACACACUCUCGCUCCCUCUUACUCGUCAGUCUCCCCCGCUGUUCAAGAAAAUGUUGCUGUGAGAUGAAAAGGUGAACUCAAGGAGGACAUUACCGUAUGCUAGCUGUGUGGUGAUGCCAGGCCAUGGAGCGUUUGGCUGUGGGUCCAGAAGACUGACGUUCUCUCCAGAUUACAUGCAAAUCGGAUGAGAUUUGACUUAUCUGGCUUCAGUAAAUAACAAAGAUAGAAACAAG